UUAAGCGACUAAGCGUACACGGUGGAUGCCCUGGCAGUCAGAGGCGAUGAAGGGCGUGCUAAUCUGCGAUAAGCGCCGGUAAGGUGAUAUGAACCGUUAUAACCGGCGAUACCCGAAUGGGGAAACCCAGUGUGAUUCGUCACACUAUCAUUAACUGAAUCCAUAGGUUAAUGAGGCGAACCGGGGGAACUGAAACAUCUAAGUACCCCGAGGAAAAGAAAUCAACCGAGAUUCCCCCAGUAGCGGCGAGCGAACGGGGAGGAGCCCAGAGCCUGAAUCAGCAUGUGUGUUAGUGGAAGCGUCUGGAAAGGCGCGCGAUACAGGGUGACAGCCCCGUACACAAAAGCGCAUGUGCUGUGAGCUCGAUGAGUAGGGCGGGACACGUGGUAUCCUGUCUGAAUAUGGGGGGACCAUCCUCCAAGGCUAAAUACUCCUGACUGACCGAUAGUGAACCAGUACCGUGAGGGAAAGGCGAAAAGAACCCCGGCGAGGGGAGUGAAAAAGAACCUGAAACCGUGUACGUACAAGCAGUGGGAGCACAGGUUUACCUGUGUGACUGCGUACCUUUUGUAUAAUGGGUCAGCGACUUAUAUUCUGUAGCAAGGUUAACCGAAUAGGGGAGCCGGAGGGAAACCGAGUCUUAAUUGGGCGUUAAGUUGCAGGGUAUAGACCCGAAACCCGGUGAUCUAGCCAUGGGCAGGUUGAAGGUUGGGUAACACUAACUGGAGGACCGAACCGACUAAUGUUGAAAAAUUAGCGGAUGACCUGUGGCUGGGGGUGAAAGGCCAAUCAAACCGGGAGAUAGCUGGUUCUCCCCGAAAGCUAUUUAGGUAGCGCCUCGUGAAUUCAUCUCCGGGGGUAGAGCACUGUUUCGGCUAGGGGGCCAUCCCGGCUUACCAACCCGAUGCAAACUGCGAAUACCGGAGAAUGUUAUCACGGGAGACACACGGCGGGUGCUAACGUCCGUCGUGAAGAGGGAAACAACCCAGACCGCCAGCUAAGGUCCCAAAGUCAUGGUUAAGUGGGAAACGAUGUGGGAAGGCCCAGACAGCCAGGAUGUUGGCUUAGAAGCAGCCAUCAUUUAAAGAAAGCGUAAUAGCUCACUGGUCGAGUCGGCCUGCGCGGAAGAUGUAACGGGGCUAAACCAUGCACCGAAGCUGCGGCAGCGACGCUUAUGCGUUGUUGGGUAGGGGAGCGUUCUGUAAGCCUGCGAAGGUGGCCUGUGAGGGUUGCUGGAGGUAUCAGAAGUGCGAAUGCUGACAUAAGUAACGAUAAAGCGGGUGAAAAGCCCGCUCGCCGGAAGACCAAGGGUUCCUGUCCAACGUUAAUCGGGGCAGGGUGAGUCGACCCCUAAGGCGAGGCCGAAAGGCGUAGUCGAUGGGAAACGGGUUAAUAUUCCCGUACUUGGUGUUACUGCGAAGGGGGGACGGAGAAGGCUAUGUUGGCCGGGCGACGGUUGUCCCGGUUUAAGCGUGUAGGUGUGUGUUCCAGGUAAAUCCGGUUCACUUUAACACUGAGGCGUGAUGACGAGGCACUACGGUGCUGAAGUAACAAAUGCCCUGCUUCCAGGAAAAGCCUCUAAGCAUCAGGUAACAUCAAAUCGUACCCCAAACCGACACAGGUGGUCAGGUAGAGAAUACCAAGGCGCUUGAGAGAACUCGGGUGAAGGAACUAGGCAAAAUGGUGCCGUAACUUCGGGAGAAGGCACGCUGACACGUAGGUGAAGUGAUUUACUCACGGAGCUGAAGUCAGUCGAAGAUACCAGCUGGCUGCAACUGUUUAUUAAAAACACAGCACUGUGCAAACACGAAAGUGGACGUAUACGGUGUGACGCCUGCCCGGUGCCGGAAGGUUAAUUGAUGGGGUCAGCGCAAGCGAAGCUCCUGAUCGAAGCCCCGGUAAACGGCGGCCGUAACUAUAACGGUCCUAAGGUAGCGAAAUUCCUUGUCGGGUAAGUUCCGACCUGCACGAAUGGCGUAAUGAUGGCCAGGCUGUCUCCACCCGAGACUCAGUGAAAUUGAACUCGCUGUGAAGAUGCAGUGUACCCGCGGCAAGACGGAAAGACCCCGUGAACCUUUACUAUAGCUUGACACUGAACAUUGAGCCUUGAUGUGUAGGAUAGGUGGGAGGCUUUGAAGUGUGGACGCCAGUCUGCAUGGAGCCGACCUUGAAAUACCACCCUUUAAUGUUUGAUGUUCUAACGUGGACCCGUUACCCGGGUUGCGGACAGUGUCUGGUGGGUAGUUUGACUGGGGCGGUCUCCUCCUAAAGAGUAACGGAGGAGCACGAAGGUUGGCUAAUCCUGGUCGGACAUCAGGAGGUUAGUGCAAUGGCAUAAGCCAGCUUGACUGCGAGCGUGACGGCGCGAGCAGGUGCGAAAGCAGGUCAUAGUGAUCCGGUGGUUCUGAAUGGAAGGGCCAUCGCUCAACGGAUAAAAGGUACUCCGGGGAUAACAGGCUGAUACCGCCCAAGAGUUCAUAUCGACGGCGGUGUUUGGCACCUCGAUGUCGGCUCAUCACAUCCUGGGGCUGAAGUAGGUCCCAAGGGUAUGGCUGUUCGCCAUUUAAAGUGGUACGCGAGCUGGGUUUAGAACGUCGUGAGACAGUUCGGUCCCUAUCUGCCGUGGGCGCUGGAGAACUGAGGGGGGCUGCUCCUAGUACGAGAGGACCGGAGUGGACGCAUCACUGGUGUUCGGGUUGUCAUGCCAAUGGCACUGCCCGGUAGCUAAAUGCGGAAGAGAUAAGUGCUGAAAGCAUCUAAGCACGAAACUUGCCCCGAGAUGAGUUCUCCCUGAGACUUAAAGUCUCCUGAAGGAACGUUGAAGACGACGACGUUGAUAGGCCGGGUGUGUAAGCGCAGCGAUGCGUUGAGCUAACCGGUACUAAUGAACCGUGAGGCUUAACCCU
Molecule: ribosomal RNA, 2906 nt
Filed under: Salmonella enterica subsp. enterica serovar Dublin
Lineage: Bacteria; Pseudomonadati; Pseudomonadota; Gammaproteobacteria; Enterobacterales; Enterobacteriaceae
Description: bacterial LSU rRNA
Rfam family: Bacterial large subunit ribosomal RNA
Source: RNAcentral